AUCCGUCUGACAAGUCCCAACUAGGACGAAACGCUCGUCCUGGUU
Schistosoma haematobium is the source of this 45-nucleotide non-coding RNA. NCBI's taxonomy places the organism in Eukaryota, Metazoa, Platyhelminthes, Trematoda, Strigeidida, Schistosomatidae. The record is from Rfam.